RNAcentral lists this transfer RNA (90 nucleotides) under Microbispora rosea subsp. aerata. RNAcentral's name for it is "tRNA-Ala". The record is from RNAcentral. Lineage: Bacteria; Bacillati; Actinomycetota; Actinomycetes; Streptosporangiales; Streptosporangiaceae.
UGUGGGAGUGGGUGGGCGCGGGCUGCGGGCUCGCCGUCUUCAUCACUUCUUACAUUCGGGUGGUGUGCGGUUCGAUUCCGCGUUCCGAGC